UAAGACGAACCGUGCGAACGUUGUUCGGAAUCACUGGGCAUAAAGGGCGCGUAGGCGGCUUAUCAAGUCAGGGGUGAAAUCCGGCAGCUCAACUGUCGAAGUGCCUUUGAUACUGAUGAGCUCGAGGGAGGUAGGGGUCUGUGGAACUUCCGGUGGAGCGGUGAAAUGCGUUGAUAUCGGAAGGAACGCCGGUGGCGAAAGCGACGGACUGGACCUCUUCUGACGCUGAGGCGCGAAAGCCAGGGGAGCAAACGGGAUUAGAUACCCCGGUAGUCCUGGCCCUAAACGAUGGGUACUAGAUAGUGGACUUGACAUGGGUUCACUGUCGAAGCAAAUGUGUUAAGUACCCCGCCUGGGGAGUAUGGUCGCAAGGCUG
Molecule: ribosomal RNA, 376 nt
Filed under: uncultured bacterium
Lineage: Bacteria
Description: bacterial SSU rRNA
Rfam family: Bacterial small subunit ribosomal RNA
Source: RNAcentral